Molecule: ribosomal RNA, 253 nt
Filed under: uncultured bacterium
Lineage: Bacteria
Description: partial 16S ribosomal RNA
Rfam family: Bacterial small subunit ribosomal RNA
Source: RNAcentral
UACGGGGGGGGCAAGCGUUGUUCGGAAUUACUGGGCGUAAAGGGCUCGUAGGCGGCCGACUAAGUCAGACGUGAAAUCCCCCGGCUUAACCGGGGAACUGCGUCUGAUACUGGAUGGCUUGAGUUUGGGAGAGGGAUGCGGAAUUCCAGGUGUAGCGGUGAAAUGCGUAGAUAUCUGGAGGAACACCGGUGGCGAAGGCAAUCCCCUGGGCCUGCACUGACGCUCAUGCACGAAAGCGUGGGGAGCAAACAGG